This 431-nucleotide ribosomal RNA is filed under the name uncultured bacterium. Its description in RNAcentral is "partial 16S ribosomal RNA". It matches the Rfam family "Bacterial small subunit ribosomal RNA", at positions 29 to 507 of the family's 1533-position model. The record is from RNAcentral.
AACGAACGCUGGCGGCAGGCUUAACACAUGCAAGUCGAACGCCCCGCAAGGGGAGUGGCAGACGGGUGAGUACCGCGUGGAAACAUACCCUUUUCUACGGAAUAGCUCUGGGAAACUGGAAUUAAUACCGUAUACGCCCUACGGGGGAAAGAUUUAUCGGGGAAGGAUUGGCCCGCGUUGGAUUAGCUAGUUGGUGGGGUAAAGGCCUACCAAGGCGACGAUCCAUAGCUGGUCUGAGAGGAUGAUCAGCCACAUUGGGACUGAGACACGGCCCAAACUCCUACGGGAGGCAGCAGUGGGGAAUAUUGGACAAUGGGCGCAAGCCUGAUCCAGCCAUGCCGCGUGAGUGAUGAAGGCCUUAGGGUUGUAAAGCUCUUUCACCGAUGAAGAUAAUGACGGUAGUCGGAGAAGAAGCCCCGGCUAACUUCGUG